RNAcentral lists this long non-coding RNA (796 nucleotides) under Olea europaea subsp. europaea. The record is from RNAcentral. Lineage: Eukaryota; Viridiplantae; Streptophyta; Magnoliopsida; Lamiales; Oleaceae.
UGUCAUGUAACAAUUCUCUCUUUCAAAAUUUAACUUUGGCUUUGUCCCUCAUGUUGGAAAAUAGAAUUUCCAUGGAUCAGUUGAUGCCUUCCACGUCAAGGCUGUGGACACAACAGGGGCUGGCGAUUCUUUUGUAGGAGCCCUUCUCUGUAAGAUUGUCAACGAUCAUGACAUAAUCCAGGUAAUGUAAUUUCUUGAUAACAUUGUUAGGCCCCAUUUGAGAGUGAUUUUUCAUCCUAAAAAAUUGAUUUUUUGACCGUUAUUUCAUUAUUUCAGUCGUAAUUUUUGACUUAUUCUCUCACAUGUGGCCCCCACUUUUUUCUAAUAAAAAAAUCAAUUCUCAAAAUUCUUACUGAACAAGCCCCUUAAUAUAUUGCACGUUCUAAUUAUGUUUAGCAUUUACUGAACACUGAUUCUAUUGAUUUCUUGAUUUUCAGGAUGAGCUUAGAUUGAAGGAAGUACUUAAAUUUGCAUGUGCCUGUGGAGCAAUCACCACGACUAAAAAGGGAGCCAUCCCAGCUCUCCCAACCGAGAAAGACGUACUCGCUCUUCUUAAAGAAGGAAAAUAGAGGAAAGAUGUCUUCUUUUCCUAAUUUUGAUUUUUGCCAUGUUUUUCUGGACAAGUUUUGAAUUUGGAUUUGGCAAUUGGUAUCGCUGUCUCAGUUUUUCUUUAUUUGCUUGAUAUGAUGAAAUAGUUUCAUUAAGGUAGUUAAAUAAAUAAUGAUUUGUCAUUUUCUUUGGAUAAAUGCUUGUGGCUUGCAGUUGCAGCGGUCAUUGAAAUCUUCGUUUCCUUUUC